CAGCCGCCGCGGUAAUACGAAGGGGGCUAGCGUUGUUCGGAAUCACUGGGCGUAAAGGGUGCGUAGGCGGAUUCUUAAGUCAGGGGUGAAAUCCCGAGGCUCAACCUCGGAACUGCCUUUGAUACUGGGGAUCUUGAGUCCGGAAGAGGUGAGUGGAACUGCGAGUGUAGAGGUGAAAUUCGUAGAUAUUCGCAAGAACACCGGUGGCGAAGGCGGCUCACUGGUCCGGAACUGACGCUGAGGCACGACAGCGUGGGGAGCAAACAGGAUUAGAUACCCCGGUAGUCCCUGUCUCUUAUAC
This 301-nucleotide ribosomal RNA is filed under the name uncultured bacterium. RNAcentral's name for it is "partial 16S ribosomal RNA". It matches the Rfam family "Bacterial small subunit ribosomal RNA", at positions 509 to 807 of the family's 1533-position model. The record is from RNAcentral.